RNAcentral lists this ribosomal RNA (254 nucleotides) under uncultured bacterium. RNAcentral's name for it is "partial 16S ribosomal RNA". It matches the Rfam family "Bacterial small subunit ribosomal RNA", at positions 524 to 777 of the family's 1533-position model. The record is from RNAcentral.
UACGUAGGGGGCAAGCGUUGUCCGGAAUUAUUGGGCGUAAAGAGCUCGUAGGCGGUCUGUUGCGUCGGCUGUGAAAACCCGGGGCUCAACCCCGGGCCUGCAGCCGAUACGGGCAGACUAGAGUUCGGCAGGGGAGACUGGAAUUCCUGGUGUAGCGGUGAAAUGCGCAGAUAUCAGGAGGAACACCGGUGGCGAAGGCGGGUCUCUGGGCCGAUACUGACGCUGAGGAGCGAAAGCGUGGGGAGCGAACAGGA